RNAcentral lists this ribosomal RNA (158 nucleotides) under Tomentellopsis sp. TAA-159819. RNAcentral's name for it is "5.8S ribosomal RNA". It matches the Rfam family "5.8S ribosomal RNA". From Rfam's summary of the family: 5.8S ribosomal RNA (5.8S rRNA) is a component of the large subunit of the eukaryotic ribosome. It is transcribed by RNA polymerase I as part of the 45S precursor that also contains 18S and 28S rRNA. RNAcentral also lists the same sequence under 1 other name. Lineage: Eukaryota; Fungi; Basidiomycota; Agaricomycetes; Thelephorales; Thelephoraceae. The record is from RNAcentral.
CAACUUUCAACAACGGAUCUCUUGGCUCUCGCAUCGAUGAAGAACGCAGCGAAAUGCGAUAAGUAAUGUGAAUUGCAGAAUUCAGUGAAUCAUCGAAUCUUUGAACGCACCUUGCGCUCCUUGGUAUUCCGAGGAGCAUGCCUGUUUGAGUGUUAUGA